UACGGGGGAGCAAGCGUUGUUCGGAUUACUGGGCGUAAAGGGCGCGGUAGGCGGUCGUGACAAGGUCACUUGUGAAAUCUCCGGGCUUAACUCGGAAACGGUCAAGUGAUACUGUCGGACUAGAGUAACAGAAGGGGCAACUGGAAUUCUCGGGUGUAGCGGUGAAAUGCGUAGAGUAUCGAAGAGGAACACCUGCGGCGAAGGCGGGUUGCCUGGGCUGAAUACUGACGCUGAGGCGCGAAAGCUAGGGGAGCAAACGGG
RNAcentral lists this ribosomal RNA (261 nucleotides) under uncultured bacterium. Its description in RNAcentral is "partial 16S ribosomal RNA". It matches the Rfam family "Bacterial small subunit ribosomal RNA", at positions 524 to 776 of the family's 1533-position model. The record is from RNAcentral.